This 253-nucleotide ribosomal RNA is filed under the name uncultured bacterium. RNAcentral describes it as "partial 16S ribosomal RNA". It matches the Rfam family "Bacterial small subunit ribosomal RNA", at positions 524 to 776 of the family's 1533-position model. The record is from RNAcentral.
UACGUAGGGUGCAAGCGUUGUCCGGAAUUAUUGGGCGUAAAGCGCGCGUAGGCGGCUACUUAAGUCGGAUGUGAAAGCCCUUGGCUCAACUGAGGAAGUGCACCCGAAACUGAGUGGCUUGAGUACUAAAGAGGGUCGCGGAAUUCCCGGUGUAGAGGUGAAAUUCGUAGAUAUCGGGAGGAACACCGGUGGCGAAGGCGGCGACCUGGGUAGAUACUGACGCUGAGGCGCGAAAGCGUGGGGAGCAAACAGG